This 229-nucleotide ribosomal RNA is filed under the name uncultured bacterium. RNAcentral describes it as "partial 16S ribosomal RNA". It matches the Rfam family "Bacterial small subunit ribosomal RNA", at positions 104 to 334 of the family's 1533-position model. The record is from RNAcentral.
CGGGGUGAGUAAUGUCUGGGAAACUGCCUGAUGGAGGGGGAUAACUACUGGAAACGGUAGCUAAUACCGCAUAACGUCGCAAGACCAAAGAGGGGGACCUUCGGGCCUCUUGCCAUCGGAUGUGCCCAGAUGGGAUCAGCUAGUAGGUGGGGUAACGGCUCACCUAGGCGACGAUCCCUAGCUGGUCUGAGAGGAUGGCCAGCCACACUGGAACUGAGACACGGUCCAG